ACUUAAAUAAUUUAAUAAAAAUAUUGAUUUGUGGAAUCAAAAAUAUGAAAUAAAUAAUCAAUCAUUUUAAGUC
This 73-nucleotide transfer RNA is filed under the name Argynnis paphia (silver-washed fritillary). RNAcentral describes it as "tRNA-His". Lineage: Eukaryota; Metazoa; Arthropoda; Insecta; Lepidoptera; Nymphalidae. The record is from RNAcentral.